GCAAAAACCUCGGACGAGUCGGACCGCCGAUUUAUCCACGUCCACACGCACACUUGUCGCACGCACGCACACACCCACAAACGAGAACGCGCGCGCGCCAAAUAAACACGUACUACGUUGGAAGUUGUUUUGUAUUCAGUGUGCCUCUAUCUCGUCGUCGUCGUUUUCUUCAAGAUCCAAGCAGGCGCGCGAGAUAUAAAUAAGAACAGUUAGAAGAGAAGACAUUUCGCGCGCGCAUUUUUUUAACAGUCAGUCGGUGAGAUUCGGUGUUCUUCGUUUGUUUAAGGUUGAGUUUGCUGUUUGCUGCUGGCGAGGAAAAAAUUGGAUUCCAUCAACGACUAAGUGGCAAACGCAGGGUUGUGUUCCCGAUUCCGCGGUGGAAACUAGGUUGUGUAACAGUUGGAUGGGGUCACCGAUAUGAGGUUUGGCUAAUGGCAAUUGCGACAUGUGAAGCAUCGUCUAGAGUGCAAAAUUAAGCCAACCAACAAGUUGGCAGAACGAUGGGUAGCUGAAAAACAAGCGAAAGAGGCUGUGAAUGAAUUACGUUAGCUGGAGUAGUUCAUGGUACUAAAUUGAAGUGACUAAAGAUCGGAAUCAAAAGUGCUCAAAGUGGCUGUCGAAUAAUACAACCGAAAUACUAUAAACAACAAGGCUGUGACAAAAAGUGCUUGUGAACAAAGCGGGAAUAGUAUGUGCUUAACUUUAUCUGGUAGCAAGUGAUAGAAGUAAAACGACAAUCAACAUGACAGCCAGCAAAGUUCAACCGCGACCAAACAGUUUUCUAUCGGCAUCGACCGCCGCUCCACAGAAUGGUGCCCUGGCCAGCUACGGCAAUGCCGCUCACUUCCAGCGGAACACUAAACGGUGCUUGUUUGGGAGGCCAGAUCCCGCCGAGACUAAAAGACUGUACGACGAAAGUGUACAACAGGAUCGCCAGCGGUUCAUAACUCAAUACCGCUUCGAUACCGUAACCGGCCAACCCGUCGGAAGCUCCUCGAUCUCAUCCUACCCUUCCUCAUCGUCGUCGUCGUCGUCGGCGUUACGCAGAAGCCCCACUAGAGAGUACAGCAUCGGUCGGUCAAACGAGGCCGCCAACAACAAACGAGCCGUGCCAAGAUGAUUCCCUGGAUGUUCCGGAACCACCACAACAGAAAUCUUCAAUAGAUCUGUCCCAGGCAACCGUGUUUGUCGCAACCUUCGCAGAGAAAGUCUUCCAACAACACAACUAUAAGCUAAGCUUAAAGGCUACCAUUCGAUCUACUCCAAUAAGUAUCCCCAGCAGGGAUUUCAACACUGAAGGUCAUCUUCACCUCCACUUGUACCACCACCAUUACCAUUGCAAGAGAACAAGAAUGCACCCUUUCACAGUAAAAUCGUUUUCUUCACACUAGCACUCAUACAUUGAGCUGACAAAAAACAAGAACACCAGGGGGUUAAAACAAAACAAUAACUAUUAUUUUCAACUUGAAAUGCAUAGCCUAGAUGACGAAUCUCUCGCGAGCCUUGGAAGCGUGAAAUACAGACCAUAUGAUCCAAGAGCCGUCGAGAGUUUCAAUUUAUUUUCUUAUUUUAAUAAUAAUAAUGUAAUCAAAAAGCAAACUUUGUGAUAAUUUAUAAAAUAUGCGUGUCCUGUUUAAAAAGUUAGCAAGAAAAACUAUUGAAAAAAAGAACACCGACCAAGCGUCGACCUAUUUUAACAAAAACAAAAACGCAUACCGGCCUGUAACCAAUUGGCAAACCAGAAAGAAACGCGAAAGAACCAAGAACGGCACACGCGUAACAAAGAGUUCUUUCAUUGUUAUAUUAAUUUAUAGCAAAUUUUGUUGAGUAAGGACGAAAUUUUUCCCCUUUGAGUAGUUUUUAAGUAAUGUAACGAAAUCGUUAAUAUUUUUUCAAACCCCCUCUUUGAGCAAACACUUACAAACAUACCAACAAAGUCCAUGUGGCUGAUCAUGUCGCCGACGGGAGCCAAAGUGUUUGAUCUUCUUUACUACCAUCUCCCCUCACACACAUUUUUUUCUUAUUAGUUGAACUCAAUCAAAGAAACAAAAAGUUUGAUCUCAUAAUAUUAUUAAACCUUGUUUUAGAGCUGAUAAUGCGUAGUUGUUAACGUGAGAGUGGUAAACAUGAGAUAAUUCAGCAAUUGAAGAUUUGUUCAGUACAAAGCAAAAUGAAAAAACAAGCACAUCUACACCUUUCUCCAUUCAGUUUCCGUACUAUCAAAAGUUUUCACGCGAAAAGCGUAUUUCCCUCAAGAAAAUUUGGCUGAAUGUACUGACAUGAAAAUUCACAGUUUUGAAAAUGGUUUUGGUUGUUCGCCCUUCACAGAUACAGUUUCACCAUUUGUUAUUUUUAGCACUGAGAUUUUAAAGGUAACUCUUACUACACACACACAUACACACCCACGAAAGUUAAUUUUAUUGCCAUACAAGUUAGGAAGAAUGUAACAAUAAUGGAAAAAAUGACGAGUAGAGCUUUUCCUUAAACAUGUUUUCAAUUAGCAUACCCUGUAGGUGCAAGACAAAAAAAAACUGUUUUUUUUUUCUACCGAAUAAGCUAUUGAAACGUCCACCCACUUCCGGAUGCGCCAAUGUACGAACCUCAAGUUCAAACAGAUAAAAAGUAAUGGAAGGCAAAAAUGAUUAAUUCUAUAUUUGCAAUAAAUAAAUAAGAUCAUAUAAAAUGUA
Molecule: long non-coding RNA, 2687 nt
Organism: Culex quinquefasciatus (southern house mosquito)
Lineage: Eukaryota; Metazoa; Arthropoda; Insecta; Diptera; Culicidae
Exons: 2
Source: RefSeq, a predicted model, not a curated record